RNAcentral lists this non-coding RNA (26 nucleotides) under Rattus norvegicus (Norway rat). Lineage: Eukaryota; Metazoa; Chordata; Mammalia; Rodentia; Muridae. The record is from RNAcentral.
UGUCUAAUUAACUUGGGGACUUGUGU